GCUUUCCUAUAGCUCAGUUGGCAGAGCAUUACGCUAACAAUGCAAAGGUUGUGGGUUCAAAUCCUGUGGAAAGUG
Danionella cerebrum is the source of this 75-nucleotide non-coding RNA. Lineage: Eukaryota; Metazoa; Chordata; Actinopteri; Cypriniformes; Danionidae. The record is from the annotation of a GenBank genome assembly.